UUUAAUCCUCAUCGUUUACCACGCCGUAACUAGGGUUCGUCUUCUUCUUCUAACGCCUGGUAUCUAAAAUUUUUUCUCUCUGUUAUCUGUCAGCAUCAAUGGUGUCUCGAGUAAUUGGAUUACUGAAAUCGAGUUGCAUAAUCUCUUUGUUUGUCUCCAAUCGCGUCUUAUAGCCUUCACUUCUAAUAAUCCGAAACGUUCCGAGUUAUUCAUCGCAUUUAUCACCUUAUUAACUCCAUAGGUGACGUGAACCACGAUCUGACUUUAAUUGUGAGUUAUACCUCUGAACUACACCUAUAAAAAGCCUGGCCGAGGCUCCUCCACCGUCCAAGUGCCGUUGCUCAGAUUCUGGAAAGCCAGAAAUUUCCGAGUGGAGGGGAACUGAUGUCUCUUGAUAUGCUCUUACUGGAUUCAAAGGCGACCAUUAUGCAGGUGAACGUGAGCCGACUAGCAACUUACGGGCCUUUUCUCCCGGCCGGUUCAAUGUAUUCUUUCACCGGUUUUGAUGUAACUCAGUGUAAUCAAAACUUCAGGCUCUCGCACUCCUCUCUGCUGAUUCGAUUCAGUGACGCUACCACUCUUGCUAACUGAACCAUCUUCUCCAAUACCUAAAGAAUGUUUCAGGUUCCGUAAUCACAGCGAGAUGCUUGGUCUAGCCAACACCAAUACCCAACUUCCAUGUAUUCCUCCUAUAAUCUGUUCAUCAAUAUAGCUGGAUAUAAGAUAUUAAUAUUAAUCGUCACACAUAUAUUAUUGGUGAGAUAACUGCUGUUAAGAGAAAGUUCUAUUUCGCUUGAAUGGCUAACUCAUCUAUAUUGCUCGCUGAAGGCUGGCCAGAGAUGGGUUCUUCUCUCUGUUUUGGACAGGAAAAUCUGAGGAUUCAGAGGUGCUCGAAACCAAAGGGUAUACCCUCAUCAUUCUCUUCCCGACUAUAUCACCUUUGCCGGAGAUGGGUUCUUCUUCUGUUUUGGAGAGUAGAAACUGAUGAUUCAAAAGUGUUAAGGCUUUGGCUCCGGGAGUAAGUAAGGAACUCCAUCGGCUCAAGAGGCAUCUCCAAUGGCCGGUAAACAAGGUCUUUCUUGCAAAUCGGAACCAUGGCUUUUUCCAUUUUAGACAGAGGUGAAGGAAGUGAGAGAGAAAGUGGAGGUCAAGAAAGAGACGUAUAGUAUUGGGAGGAGACUUUUGUAAUGUGUUUGAUUUUGGCCUUAGUGGAGGUCUUCUUUCAAGAUCACGUUUUGGGUUCAUUUUGUUGCCAUGCAUGCUGUUACUGGUUCUUAUGCGAGACCAAAUUUUGUCGAUUAUCUUGGAGCCAAACCAUUUUGUAGGAUUCAAUUUCCAAUGGAGUUCCUCUAGAAGAUGGCCAUCCAGAUCCUAAUUUGACGUAAGAAAAAAACUUAGGGGAAGACUCACCAUAUACACUUAGUAUAUAAUUUUAUAAACCGUCUUAUAUAUAGAUACGCAAAUUGCCAGUGUAUAGAACACCAAGUCAAGAACAAUUGCCUGUUUUUUUUUCUU
Long non-coding RNA from Brassica napus (rape), 1515 nucleotides. RefSeq lists it as uncharacterized. The record is from RefSeq and is a predicted model, not a curated record. The transcript has 6 exons. Lineage: Eukaryota; Viridiplantae; Streptophyta; Magnoliopsida; Brassicales; Brassicaceae.